GCCGGGAUGGCGGAAUGGUAGACGCGGCGGACUCAAAAUCCGCUGGGCGCAAGCCCGUGUGGGUUCAAGUCCCACUCCCGGUA
Molecule: transfer RNA, 83 nt
Filed under: Actinomycetes bacterium
Lineage: Bacteria; Bacillati; Actinomycetota; Actinomycetes
Description: tRNA-Leu
Rfam family: tRNA
About the family: Transfer RNA (tRNA) molecules are approximately 80 nucleotides in length. Their secondary structure includes four short double-helical elements and three loops (D, anti-codon, and T loops).
Source: RNAcentral